Molecule: ribosomal RNA, 513 nt
Filed under: uncultured bacterium
Lineage: Bacteria
Description: partial 16S ribosomal RNA
Rfam family: Bacterial small subunit ribosomal RNA
Source: RNAcentral
GAUGAACGCUGGCGGCGUGCCUAAUACAUGCAAGUCGAACGCGCAGCGAGAGGUGCUUGCACCUUUCAAGCGAGUGGCGAACGGGUGAGUAACACGUGGAUAACCUGCCUCAAGGCUGGGGAUAACAUUUGGAAACAGAUGCUAAUACCGAAUAAAACUUAGUAUCGCAUGAUAUAAAGUUAAAAGGCGCUACGGCGUCACCUAGAGAUGGAUCCGCGGUGCAUUAGUUAGUUGGUGGGGUAAAGGCUUACCAAGACAAUGAUGCAUAGCAGAGUUGAGAGACUGAUCGGCCACAUUGGGACUGAGACACGGCCCAAACUCCUACGGGAGGCUGCAGUAGGGAAUCUUCCACAAUGGGCGCAAGCCUGAUGGAGCAACGCCGCGUGUGUGAUGAAGGCUUUCGGGUCGUAAAGCACUGUUGUAUGGGAAGAAAUGCUAAAAUAGGGAAUGAUUUUAGUUUGACGGUACCAUACCAGAAAGGGACGGCUAAAUACGUGCCAGCCGCCGCAGUAA